AUGAACGCUGGCGGCGUGCCUAAUACAUGCAAGUCGAGCGAACAGAUAAGGAGCUUGCUCCUUUGACGUUAGCGGCGGACGGGUGAGUAACACGUGGAUAACCUACCUAUAAGACUGGGAUAACUUCGGGAACCGGAGCUAAUACCGGAUAACAUAUUGAACCGCAUGGUUCAAUAGUGAAAGGCGGCUUUGCUGUCACUUAUAGAUGGAUCCGCGCCGUAUUAGCUAGUUGGUAAGGUAACGGCUUACCAAGGCAACGAUACGUAGCCGACCUGAGAGGGUGAUCGGCCACACUGGAACUGAGACACGGUCCAGACUCCUACGGGAGGCAGCAGUAGGGAAUCUUCCGCAAUGGGCGAAAGCCUGACGGAGCAACGCCGCGUGAGUGAUGAAGGUCUUCGGAUCGUAAAACUCUGUUAUCAGGGAAGAACAAAUGUGUAAGUAACUGUGCACAUCUUGACGGUACCUGAUCAGAAAGCCACGGCUAACUACGUG
RNAcentral lists this ribosomal RNA (495 nucleotides) under uncultured bacterium. RNAcentral describes it as "partial 16S ribosomal RNA". It matches the Rfam family "Bacterial small subunit ribosomal RNA", at positions 29 to 507 of the family's 1533-position model. The record is from RNAcentral.